AAUGUAAUGCUCAUUACACAUAAAACCUUUCUUUCUUCCCAGAAUGUCCCUGAAGGAAAAGGAAGUGUAUGUGGAGAUGUUCAGCAAUCCAAUAAAGAUGGCUGCCUUUGAAGAGAAAAAUAAAGUAAAUGAGGUAGUUGAAG
RNAcentral lists this long non-coding RNA (143 nucleotides) under Ictidomys tridecemlineatus (thirteen-lined ground squirrel). Its description in RNAcentral is "lncRNA (ENSSTOG00000032339.1)". Lineage: Eukaryota; Metazoa; Chordata; Mammalia; Rodentia; Sciuridae. The record is from RNAcentral.